GAUGAACGCUGGCGGCGUGCCUAAUACAUGCAAGUCGAGCGAACAGACGAGGAGCUUGCUCCUCUGACGUUAUCGGCGGACGGGUGAGUAACACGUGGAUAACCUACCUAUAAGACUGGGAUAACUUCGGGAAAUCGUAUCUAAUACCGGAUAAUAUAUUGAACCUCAUUGUUCAAUAGUUAAAGUCGGUUUUGCUGUCACUUAUAGAUUGAUCCGCGCCGCAUUAGCUAGUUGGUUAGGUAACGGCUUACCAAGGCAACGAUGCGUAGCCGACCUGAGAGGGUGAUCGGACAGACUGGAACUGAGACACGGUCGAGACUCCUAGGGGAGGCAGCAGUAGGGAAUCUUCCGCAAUGGGCGAAAGCCUGACGGAGCAACGCCGCGUGAGUGAUGAAGGUCUUCGGAUCGUAAAACUCUGUUAUUAGGGAAGAACAAAUGUGUAAGUAACUAUGCACGUAUUGACGGUACCUAAUCAGAAAGCCACGGCUAACUACGUG
RNAcentral lists this ribosomal RNA (497 nucleotides) under uncultured bacterium. RNAcentral's name for it is "partial 16S ribosomal RNA". It matches the Rfam family "Bacterial small subunit ribosomal RNA", at positions 28 to 507 of the family's 1533-position model. The record is from RNAcentral.